This 492-nucleotide ribosomal RNA is filed under the name uncultured bacterium. RNAcentral's name for it is "partial 16S ribosomal RNA". It matches the Rfam family "Bacterial small subunit ribosomal RNA", at positions 29 to 507 of the family's 1533-position model. The record is from RNAcentral.
AGUGAACGCUGGCGGUAGGCCUAACUCAUGCGCGUCGAUUGGCAGCUCAGUAAGAGCUUGCUUUUAUGGGUGGCGAGUGGCGGACGGGUGCCGAAUCCCAUGGAAUCUACUUUUUAGUGGGGGACACCCAAGGGCGAAUUACGCUAAUACAGCAUACGUCCUACGGGUGAAAGCUGGGGACAUUCGGCCCUUGCGCGAUUGAAUGAGCCGAUGUCGGAUUCGCUAGUUGGCGGGGUAACGGCCCACCAAGGCGACGGUCCGUAGCUGGUCUGGGAGGAUGAUCAGGCACACGGGAACGGAGAGUCGGUCCAGACUCCAACGGGACGCAGCAGUGAGGAAUAUGGGACAGAGGUCGCAAGCCUGAUCCAGCCAUACCGCAUAGGUGAGUAAGGCCUUCGGGUUGUAAAGCACUUUUGUUCGGAAAGAAAAGCAGCAGCUUAAUACCCCGCUGUUCUGACGGUACCCAAAGAAAAAGCACCGGCUAACUUCGUG